This 101-nucleotide small RNA is filed under the name Trypanosoma cruzi. RNAcentral's name for it is "spliced leader mini-exon transcript". The record is from RNAcentral. Lineage: Eukaryota; Euglenozoa; Kinetoplastea; Trypanosomatida; Trypanosomatidae.
CCCCGGUCAAAAGAAAUUGACCAAACAAAACCGCCAGAGGCGGGUUGGAAGCUUCGCGUACCAAUAUAGUACCAGAAACUGUAUCAAUAAUAGCGUUAGUU